This 491-nucleotide long non-coding RNA is filed under the name Vigna radiata. RNAcentral's name for it is "long non-coding RNA (VRAD_LNC000455)". The record is from RNAcentral. Lineage: Eukaryota; Viridiplantae; Streptophyta; Magnoliopsida; Fabales; Fabaceae.
AAGGAGAAAAGAAAUAAAAGGACAUGAAAGAAGAGGGAGAGGACAAAAUUAGGUCCCCAAGGUUUCACAACUCUUUUGGUAUGUUAUUCUAAGUCUCUUUCAUGGCAACAUCGUUAAGUUAGGUUGGGCCAAAGCUUAGAAGGAUGCAAGGAGAUGGUCCCUAUGGUGGUUAAGGUGGCGGAAAUGGGUGGGAAAGGAGUGAUAUGAUGCACAAGUGAUGGUGGUGAGGUGAUAGGCUCAUAACCUUUAGUGAUAGGAUGAAGAUAGUGUGUAGUUUGGUGGUUCAAGGAGAGGUUAGGCCAACUCCAUGAGGUAGGUGACUAGAAGGGCUUAUAUGAAGUACCUGAAAAACACUAGAAGGAGGUUGAAUAGUGUUUUUGGAAAAUGUUUUUCGCAACCCUUCUGAUAUAGCACGUUGUCGAACAUGUUCAAAAGCUUAGACGCUCGACUUGAAAUAUAUGCGUUGAUAAGAUUGUCAUGUCAAUCAAAAU